RNAcentral lists this non-coding RNA (29 nucleotides) under Mus musculus (house mouse). The record is from RNAcentral. Lineage: Eukaryota; Metazoa; Chordata; Mammalia; Rodentia; Muridae.
CAACCAUCUGUAAUAGGAUCUGAUGCCCC